Lolium rigidum is the source of this 805-nucleotide long non-coding RNA. RefSeq lists it as uncharacterized. NCBI's taxonomy places the organism in Eukaryota, Viridiplantae, Streptophyta, Magnoliopsida, Poales, Poaceae. The transcript has 2 exons. The record is from RefSeq and is a predicted model, not a curated record.
UAUCGAUAGUCCUUACUUUUGUCGUACGCAGCAAAUAGGUAUUCGUUUUGCAUGGCAUUUGCUUCAAAUUGUUGCCGUUAAUUCGCAUAUUUAUAAUCUAGUUAUAGUUAUUUUCUCCAUGAGCUUCUUUUGCUAAAAUGCUUAUGAUACAGUCUUUGUUCUUGAAGCCUGUGAUCUGUCAGUAUGAUUAGGUUGCACUGUACAUGUUAGGAAAUGUAUUCAUUUACCUGGCUAAGUUAUUAUUCAGAAUUGUCAGGAUGUAGCACAUGCUAAAUAUGAAACUGUAUUCUCCUUGUCUACAUUUCAUUCAAUAUAUCUGAAUUUGUUUACUUUAUCCUGUAAUGCAGAAAACAGCUAAUAAGUGAUUCUGGAAGAGUAUUUAAGUCAAAAAUUCCGGAGCAGAUAAGGGAAGACCUGAUUCAAUCCUUUAUAUUAUACUUCCAUGACAUAUUUGAUGGAUGCUAAAGCUUUUUCGUGGAAUUUUUUGUAAAGGUGGCGGUGGAAUCCUGUUGGUCUACUACUCUACUACGAGCUACUUGUGCCUUCUGCUGCUUAUUUUUUUUAGGAAAUUUUUGUUUUCUAAGAUGAGAUGAGAAGUAGAGUGGCCAACUCAGUUUGCUUUCGUUCUAUUUGCUAUGGGCUUGUAACCCCAGUCUCGUUCCACCCCUUCUGUUUGUACUAUGCAGCAAAUUAUCUCUGUCUUUCUAAUAGACAUACCAUAGAUGGUACACUAUGAGUUACCACAAUGUACUCUAUGGAACAGUAUCAAAGGACAAAAUGCUUAAGAAAAUUUUCCUUUAUCCAA